GGUUAAGUGUGUGCAUGUUGACUAUGCAAACAAUGAGGAAUUAAAAGAAAUGCAGUCAACCUUUCCUCAACUACCAGAAACAAAGGUAAACAAAUGAGUUUGCACAAGUGGUGUGAUCCACAAUCCCUUUUCCUCCAGACCCAGUCUGUCCCUAAUCAGCAAACAUAUGGUAGGCAGAAGAGAAACCCACAUUUAAAGAGAAGGCAUUUUGGAAGUUAAAUUGUUUAUUGAACAAAUCAUGUAAGAGUAGCAGGAACACCAGGCCAAAUCAAAAUCAUAACCGUACAACCUAAGUGUCAGCAAUAGUGGCCAAAUCAGAGGUACAUUUUUGUCGUAUGGUGAAGGAGUUCCUCAUUUCAAACAAGCGCAUUAGUUUGCAUAAUUCCUCACCUCAAUUACCUUUGCCCUUUUCUUCAAAUGGAGGCACAGUAACAGGAGAAAGACGAUUAAGGAGUUGGGCAAACCAAAUUAUGAUCUCCCUAUCUAGCUUGUUGAGGGGUCGGGCCGUCUGUGCAAGGCCGGCCGCUUCUGCAGAGGUAUGUUUGGCAGUUGCUUCAGCAGAGGCGCGGGGGCCGGCGGCCGCUACUGCAGAGGUAUGGCUGGCAGUUGCUUCAGCAGAUGCGCGGGGGCCUGCGGCCGCUUGUGCAGAGGUAUGGCUGGCAGUUGCUUCAGCUGAGGCGCGGGGGCCGACAGUGGCUUCAACAGAGGUAUGUUUGGCAGUUGCUUCAGCAGAGGCGCGGGGGCCAGCCGCUUGUGCAGAGGUAUGGCUGGCAGUUGCUUCAGCUGAGGCGCGGGGGCCAGCCGCUUCUGCAGAGGUAUGGCUGGCAGUUGCUUGAGCUGAGGCGCGGGGUUCGACGGCCGCUUCUGCAGAGGUAUGUUUGGCAGUUGCUUCAGCAGAGGCGCGGGGGCCAGCCGCUUCUGCAGAGGUAUGGCUGGCAGUUGCUUCAGCUGAGGCGCGGGGGCCUGUGGCCGCUUCUGCAGAGGUAUGGCUGGCAGUUGCUUCAGCUGAGGCGCGGGGGCCAGCCGCUUCUGCAGAGGUAUGGCUGGCAGUUGCUUCAGCUGAGGCGCGGGGGCCAGCCGCUUCUGCAGAGGCAUGGUUGGCAGUUGCGGCAUUUGGACCCUGCGUCACACUUGCCAGGCUAUUGUAGCCAGUAGCUUUAGCAUUUGGACCAGACACCACACUUGCUUGGGAUCCAGUUGGUUCAGGUCCAGUGCAGGCAGGAUGCCCAUAAGCGUCACCUAGGAAACAAAGAAAACAUUGUGGUAAAAUUCCAGCCUUAAGCCAUUGGAACUAGACUGUGAUUUAAAUUACUUUGAACCAAAACGCACCUUGAAGGGUAAAGCACGUUAUCCCUCCAAUUAGCAGGCAACAAAUCCAAGAAACACUAUAAAACAUUCAGACAGUUAAACAUAAAUAAACAGUAAACACUUUAAGACAAGGUAAACCAAUCAGAUGAAUACAUUGAAAAACUAACCUCAAAGAGAGUCCAAAAGUCACAGCCAUUUUAGUGAUCAAAACCACAACAGAAUUCAAGAACUAAUUCUCGACAGCCUGCCAGAAUAUCCCUGUUGCAAUGUCUAACAGCUGUUUUGGUUGCACCUCAUAAAGGAAUCCCAGACCCUUCUUACCUGAAUGGCUAAUUAUGUACAGGUGUCAACCAAUGAACUUAAUUUCAAUUGGUUGGCC
Molecule: long non-coding RNA, 1687 nt
Filed under: Oncorhynchus kisutch (coho salmon)
Lineage: Eukaryota; Metazoa; Chordata; Actinopteri; Salmoniformes; Salmonidae
Description: lncRNA (ENSOKIG00005019295.1)
Source: RNAcentral